GACGAGGGGUCCAAGCGUUGUUCGGAAUCAUUGGGCGUAAAGCGGGUGUAGGCGGCUCUAUAAGUCAGAAGUGAAAGCCCCGAGCUUAACUUGGGAAGUGCUUUUGAUACUGCAGAGCUUGAAUGUGGGAGAGGGUAGUGGAAUUCCAGGUGUAGUGGUGAAAUACGUAGAUAUCGUAAGGAAGACCAGUGGCGAAGGCGGGUCUCUGGACAGUUCCUGACGCUGAGGCACGAAGGUCAGGGGAGCAAACGGG
This 253-nucleotide ribosomal RNA is filed under the name uncultured bacterium. Its description in RNAcentral is "partial 16S ribosomal RNA". It matches the Rfam family "Bacterial small subunit ribosomal RNA", at positions 524 to 776 of the family's 1533-position model. The record is from RNAcentral.